GCACUCUUAGCUCAGUUGGUAGAGCAACUGACUCUUAAUCAGUGG
Bacteroides sp. CAG:702 is the source of this 45-nucleotide non-coding RNA. The record is from Rfam. Lineage: Bacteria; Pseudomonadati; Bacteroidota; Bacteroidia; Bacteroidales; Bacteroidaceae.